CCAACGUUCAGUGUGGUGAUACCCAAGGAGAAGAGAGGGUGUAUCGCUGUUUUUGCUCUGGAUUUCUGCACUAGUUUGUCAAACCCUGUGAUGAUAAGGUGUGCUGUGACCAAGGAGUGAGAUGAUCUGACGAGUGAACAAGCCAUCGCCAAUAAGUGUCUCCAUAACACACGACGUGCUGACACGGGAGCUGCUGUGAUCAGGAGCUAUCAGGACCACGCACGACCAUUACAUCCGAAGUGAGGCGGCGAGCGGCCCGGCUGGUCAGCUGGUCUGCAGAGACAAAGGUGAUGGACUUUGAACUACACGAGUCUCGCUACGGACCUGCCCAGAAUCAAGAAGUUUGGAGGCCGAGACAGAAACAGAAGCAGAAGGACGGAAGAUCAGUUAACGACAACACAAAGAGAGUGGACUACCCAGCGAGGCGAAGAGAGAAACACAGCCAUCCCUAUUACACUACUGACACCAAUAGCAGCAGUGAAUCCUUUGCCAGAGCUUGUGAUAUGGUGGUCUUGGAAUAUUGAGCCACUAAGGUACAGCUGCUGCAAUCUGCUUGGACCCGGAGACCAUGGAAAGGAACUGCAAGCAACAGAUGUGCGCAGAGCAGACGUCAGGGUGAUGCUUGCUGGCCGUUUUAGUGUGAAUGUGUCAUCCUGACUCGGCUACUUCAAUUUCCUUCACUGAGGGAGACAAGUUAUCUGCUGCUGAACGUUAUAAUCUUACACUACACCAACAACCAACCAAAUGACCUGUGGCAGGCAACGUCGGCCAGUGGGGUGUUCGGUACGACAACAUGGGACGGACGUAAACAUCGCAGCCGGACAGGUGAAGAAGGCUAAACGCAUAACUUUGUGUACAUUAUCGUAUCAUUGCUAUGUGCAAGAAGAAAAGGGACAGGAGAGACAAGAAACAUUGGUUGGAACUGUUCUAUUUAUUUUCCAACCACCUAGUGGUUGGAAAAAUCUUGUUUCUCUUGUCCCACU
This 983-nucleotide long non-coding RNA is filed under the name Portunus trituberculatus (swimming crab). RNAcentral describes it as "uncharacterized LOC123520760, transcript variant X1". Lineage: Eukaryota; Metazoa; Arthropoda; Malacostraca; Decapoda; Portunidae. The record is from RNAcentral.